GUGUAGCUAGGGGGCAGAAAGGGUGGUGAAACGUGGGGGGAAAGCGAUAUGCGGGAUCAGUGGGGUGAAGGGGUGCGGAGGUGUCUUGUCAAGCCAGGAGUGAAAGGCAUUUGUGCAAACAAUGUAAGGCUGUUGAACUGAUUAGCUUGGGUGCAGGAGAGGUAAGUGGAAGUCCUAGUGUAGAGGUGAAAUUCGUAGAUAUGAGGAGGAACACCAGUGGCGAAGGCGACUUACUGGACUGUAACUGACACUGAGGCACGAAAGCGUGGGUAGCGAACAGGAUUAGAUACCCUAGUAGUC
RNAcentral lists this ribosomal RNA (300 nucleotides) under uncultured Haloquadratum sp. RNAcentral describes it as "bacterial SSU rRNA". It matches the Rfam family "Bacterial small subunit ribosomal RNA", at positions 495 to 795 of the family's 1533-position model. The record is from RNAcentral. Lineage: Archaea; Methanobacteriati; Methanobacteriota; Halobacteria; Halobacteriales; Haloferacaceae.